Molecule: ribosomal RNA, 301 nt
Filed under: uncultured bacterium
Lineage: Bacteria
Description: partial 16S ribosomal RNA
Rfam family: Bacterial small subunit ribosomal RNA
Source: RNAcentral
CAGCCGCCGCGGUAAUACGUAGGGUGCGAGCGUUAAUCGGAAUUACUGGGCGUAAAGCGUGCGCAGGCGGUUUUGUAAGACAGGCGUGAAAUCCCCGGGCUCAACCUGGGAAUGGCGCUUGUGACUGCAAAGCUAGAGUGCGGCAGAGGGGGAUGGCAUUCCGCGUGUAGCAGUGAAAUGCGUAGAUAUGCGGAGGAACACCGAUGGCGAAGGCAAUCCCCUGGGCCUGCACUGACGCUCAUGCACGAAAGCGUGGGGAGCAAACAGGAUUAGAUACCCCCGUAGUCCCUGUCUCUUAUAC